Apus apus (common swift) is the source of this 1507-nucleotide long non-coding RNA. RefSeq lists it as uncharacterized. The transcript has 5 exons. The record is from RefSeq and is a predicted model, not a curated record. NCBI's taxonomy places the organism in Eukaryota, Metazoa, Chordata, Aves, Apodiformes, Apodidae.
AGGAGAAAGGCACUGCGGGCAAAGGGACCUGCCCAUCACAAGAGCUGUGGUGCAGAGCCAUCGGAUGCAAACUAAACAACAGCAGAGGUGGGAGCAGAGCACCACGAGAAGGUUCGUUAGCUUGCGGUGUCAGAGGAAGUGGCUCUGGUGGCCAGAUCUAUCUCAGAGGGUUUGUUUGUUUGAGGGUGCAAAGUGACAAAGGAAGCCUGAUGUUGGACCCGGAGCUGGCUCGUGCAAGGAGAUGAAGAUGAACCUUGUGACUACAGGAGCAACCUAUUCAGCUCUUGCGGGGUUUUUAUUGGCAAAGAUGGAUUCAGCCUUUCGGCCUUCUAAAAGAUAAGUAGAGGGACCAGGGCUGGGCGGUGGAUGCAGUGGGAAUGGGCAGAGAACAAGGUCAGGAAUGGCAGGCAGGAGUUUUAAGGUAGGGGAGAGGGCUGUGCGGGAGCAAUCCCCUUUGGGUGGGUGAGGAGAGAGGAUUACUCGUCAUCAUGACCCUAGCACGUGCUGGGCAGAGCAGCUCUAGCCUGUGUGUGUUACUGUGUAGUUUGUGUCUUCUGCGUCAUGUACUCUGGAGCCUCCUCAGGUCUCGAUGUUCUCUUAGUUCUGUCAGAGAACCUCACACAUCUCAAAUGCCAUCGCUAGGGUCUCGAACGCCUGCACUCAUCAGCACGGUGCCAGUCAUCGGCUUCUCUCGUGUAACGAGUCCGAAGCGCGGGUCGGUCUCUCGCGUCAGAAGUUCACGGACGAUCCUCUUCUGCAGCGUCGUUCCUGCUGCGUCGGCAUCCUGUCUCUGGUAGCUGGUUUUCCCAAGCUGAGACUUCCCUGCAUCUUUGUUCUUAGGUCUAGAAGCCGGUCUUCUUGCGCAUCCCUCAUCUGCUUUCCUGUUACUUCUUGUAAUAGGCAGUUUUGUUUGACUCAUUCUUCCGGCUGCCGCAGAGCCUCCUCGUCUCGCCAUCGCGUCCCAGUAGGUCAUCUUGCCCGAGAGUCUCUGAGUCUCCUCGCCGAGAGCUUUCUCUCCUCACUGAGUUGUGUGCUUUUGUAGGGUUGCUUGUAGUGUUUGUGUGUGGCUUGGAGCUGCUCUGCCCAGGGGUGCGGAGUCAGGGUUUGGUGGAAGAGCCGUAAGAACCUCUGGUCGGUGUGUCGCUAUGCCUUGACUGUUGAGGCAAAGGUAGUUAGUAAUCUCAGAUGGAUCAGCCACGGUGGGGAUGGGCGGAUGGUCACUGUAAUAGUGUUUGAUGGAGGCGAUAGGAGCCUCAUAGGAUGAGAUGUUCAGCGGUAGUGGAGCAGAAUGAUCCUUAAAGUUUGGGGGUGUUUUUUGUACCCCUAGGCCGUAGUUGCAGUCAAGAAAGUGUGGCAUCUUAGAGAUGGCAUUAUGGCUUGAAUUCUUUUUAUUUUGAAGGCAGAAGCAGUGAGCCUGGCAGAUAGCGGCCCAAGAAGUGGCUCGUGCCAGGUGGUGCCCAAGCCUCUAGGCAGCAGUCCAAAAGGACUGAGGUGCGGCCCACAGCUC